UGAUCAAUUUAGUUUAAUACAGGUUCUCAUAUUCAUGGCUUUAUUUUCCUGUAAGGUGACAAGUGAUAAUCUCAAAGUUUUCUGGAUUUCUUAUCAUUCUUAUAUGAUUACUUGCUCUUUUGUUCCUACUGUGGGUUUUAGUCCAUCAUCCAGAUGGUGGUGGUUGAGGAGAUUCCCUCGCCCCCAUACAAUGAAUAGCGCUUUGAUUUUACAGGCUUGGUUGGUUUCCAAGGAUUUUAGGAGGACGAGCGCGUGGCUCAUUGUUACUGUUACAUUUAUUUUUUCUUUCAGGUGGUAGGUUUGAGCUAUAUGGCGGUAGGUUGGCGGUAUAUGGCGGUAUAUUGCGG
Ictalurus punctatus (channel catfish) is the source of this 347-nucleotide long non-coding RNA. The record is from Ensembl. NCBI's taxonomy places the organism in Eukaryota, Metazoa, Chordata, Actinopteri, Siluriformes, Ictaluridae.